UUUAUAGUGUGAGGGUGCUGAAAAAUAGGUGGGAAAAUUCAAAUGAAACUCAUUUGAAAUUCCCACAAAAAACAAGUCACAUGGGAGGUGUGACCUUUUUCUACUAUGACACCUCCUAAAAACUACACCUACACCUACUCUCCUAAGUCACAUGGACAAUGUGACUUUAUUUUACAUAUUCACACUCCUUUAUUUAAUAUCCACACCUCCUACAACUAUACAAGAGUAAUUCAAAUGAUGCUCUUUUAUUUAAUGCUUGGCCUUG
This 265-nucleotide long non-coding RNA is filed under the name Phaseolus vulgaris (common bean). RNAcentral describes it as "long non-coding RNA (PVUL_LNC000589)". Lineage: Eukaryota; Viridiplantae; Streptophyta; Magnoliopsida; Fabales; Fabaceae. The record is from RNAcentral.